Molecule: ribosomal RNA, 403 nt
Filed under: uncultured bacterium
Lineage: Bacteria
Description: partial 16S ribosomal RNA
Rfam family: Bacterial small subunit ribosomal RNA
Source: RNAcentral
GACGAACGCUGGCGGCGUGCCUAAUACAUGCAAGUCGAACGCAGUGGGGACGGGUGAGUAACACGUGGGUAACCUCCCAUCAGAGGGGAUAACACUUGGAAACAGGUGCUAAACCGAUACUGAUGGAUGGACCAGCGGUGCAUUAGCUAGUUGGUGGGGUCACGGCUUACCAAGGCCACGAUGCAUAGCCAACCUGAGAGGUGGAUCGGCCAAAUUGGGACUGAGACAAGGCCCAGACGCCUCAGGGAGGCAGCAGUAGGGAAUCUUCGGCAAGGGACGAAAGUCUGACCGAGCAACGCCGCGUGAGUGAAGAAGGUUUUCGGAUCGUAAAACUCUGUUGUUAGAGAAGCGGUAUCUAACCAGAAAGCCACGGCUAACUACGUGCCAGCAGCCGCGGUAAUAC